This 74-nucleotide transfer RNA is filed under the name Methylococcus sp. EFPC2. Its description in RNAcentral is "tRNA-Gly". It matches the Rfam family "tRNA". Rfam says of the family: Transfer RNA (tRNA) molecules are approximately 80 nucleotides in length. The record is from RNAcentral. Lineage: Bacteria; Pseudomonadati; Pseudomonadota; Gammaproteobacteria; Methylococcales; Methylococcaceae.
GCGAGCGUAGUUCAAUGGUAGAACUCCAGGUUCCCAUCCUGGUAGUGAGGGUUCGAUUCCCUUCGCUCGCUCCA